UACAGAAGGCCCGAGCGUUGUUCGGAUUCAUUGGGCGUAAAGGGUGCGUAGGCGGUGGGGUAAGUUGGAUGUGAAAUCUUGGGGCUUAACCUCAAAAUUGCAUUCAAUACUGCUCCGCUCGAGUUCUGUAGAGGAGAUUGGAAUUUACGGUGUAGCAGUGAAAUGCGUAGAUAUCGUAAGGAACGCCAGUGGCGAAAGCGAAUCUCUGGGCAGCAACUGACGCUGAGGCACGAAGGCCAGGGGAGCAAACGGG
This 253-nucleotide ribosomal RNA is filed under the name uncultured bacterium. RNAcentral's name for it is "partial 16S ribosomal RNA". It matches the Rfam family "Bacterial small subunit ribosomal RNA", at positions 524 to 776 of the family's 1533-position model. The record is from RNAcentral.